AAGCAACCCGAAAUGAGGAAAUAGAACCAAUCGCUUGGGGUACUGAGAGGGAGAAAGCCUUUUGUACUUUAAAGGCUGCACUCUUAUCUGCCCCGGCGUUAGGGCUUCCUGAUUAUUCAAAACCUUUUAGAUUAUAUUGUGAUGAAGCAAAAGGGGUUGCAAAGGGAGUGUUAGUACAAGCUUUAGGAACGCAUGAGAGACCUGUUGCUUAUUUUUCUUCUACAUUAGAUCCAGUGACUAAAGGAACUCCUUUUUGUAUUAGAGCAAUAGCAGCUGCAGCUGAAAUGGUUGAGAAAACCAGAACAAUUGUUUUAGGUCAUCCACUAACUGUUUGUGUACCUCACGAGGUAGAAAUUUUGUUAAAGCAAUACGCGGAGAAAACUUUGUCUCCGCAAUGAGCACAUAGAUAUGAAAUAAUUCUUUUAUUGGCUGAUAAUUUGAAAUUGGAAAGGUGCAAUACUCUAAACCCUGCAACUUUAAUGCCUUUACCUUCUGAUGGAGAAAAAGAUAACCAUAAUUUUGCUAAUCUCGUAAAAGAAACCAGCAAGCCGCGAGAUGACCUGAGAGAUCAACCUUUAGAUAACCCCGACUUGAACCUCUUCACGGACGGCUCAUCUUACUAUGAAGAAGGCUGAAGAUGUACUGGUUUCGCCGUCACCACAGAAACACAGGUACUACUGGCGGGAUCUUUGCCUGCACUUUUGGGUGCACAAGGGGCGGAAAUAGUUGCUCUUACUGAAGCUGCAAAGUAUGCAAAUGGAAUCGGAGUUAACAUUUAUACAGACUCUAAAUAUGCCUUUGGUGUAUGCCAUGCUACGGGGACUUUAUGGAAGGAAAGGGGUUUUCUGACUUCGGCGGGAAACACUGUUGCUCACGGACAACAGAUCAAAGACCUUUUAGAAGCAAUCCAAUUGCCCUCUGAGAUAUCUGUAAUUUAUAUAAAGGCACACACACAGAGACAAGACAUGAUCGCAAAAGGAAAUUCUCUAGCUGACCAAGCCACUAGAGCAGCAGCACGACAGGUCAUGUCCGUUAUGUCUCUGUCACAAGAUGGAACAACAUUGGAGCUCCCUGAUACGAAUAAGCUGUAUGAAGACCUCCCGGAGGAAGAAGAACAGCAAUGGACUUGGUUGGGAGCCCAGCGACGAGAAGGGCAGUGGAUUCUGAACAACAAACCUCUCCUUCCAAAAAGGAAUACUCUGAGGCAACCAAUUGGAGUUUCUCCAGCUGAAAUUCUUUUUGGGAGAAUACUUGCUGUUCCAGAAAUUCAUAGGUACCUUUGAAGUGUAAGAAGAUAAGUGAUGAUGACAACCGGAGACUUUCUGCCUGUGACCACCAAUCCCAGAAGAACCGAGACAUGAGAAUGGAGAAUGGAUGAGAUAAGAUGAUGGAUGAUAACAAUAUGAGAACAGAAAAUCGACUGGAAAAUUACAGAGACUUUGGAUUGGGACAAUGGGUGGCAAA
Aquila chrysaetos chrysaetos is the source of this 1464-nucleotide long non-coding RNA. RefSeq lists it as uncharacterized. The transcript has 3 exons. The record is from RefSeq and is a predicted model, not a curated record. NCBI's taxonomy places the organism in Eukaryota, Metazoa, Chordata, Aves, Accipitriformes, Accipitridae.